Long non-coding RNA from Coffea eugenioides, 775 nucleotides. RefSeq lists it as uncharacterized. The transcript is spliced from 4 exons. The record is from RefSeq and is a predicted model, not a curated record. Lineage: Eukaryota; Viridiplantae; Streptophyta; Magnoliopsida; Gentianales; Rubiaceae.
GAGGGCAUCCCCGGGACCAGCAGCACCUCAUCUUCACUGGCAAGCAGCUCGAGGACAGCCGCACCCUAGUCGACUGCAACAUCCAGAAGGAGUCAGCCCUCCACCUUGUCCUCCACCUCGACGGUGGCGCCAAGAAGCGCAAGAAGAACACCUGCACCAAGCCGGCGGUGACUGAGGGAAAUUCCCCCCCUCUUUUUUAUAAACUUUAUUGUUACUAGUCUAAUUGAACAUUAGCAGCAUGUUCUUAUUUUGAAGAUUUGGGUAUGUUACUGCAAAUCGUUGAGUUAUUGAACCAUUUGCAUCAUGAGCUGUGCCUCGUUAACUUGCUUAUUUGUGAGUUGUGUUAUAGAGGUUUCUGUGGGAAGCUUGUCGAGACACUACUUUAAUCAUCUUGAUGGUAGCUGCGGCUGCUUCUUUGGCCCUUGGGAUAAAGACAGAGGGUAUAAAAGAAGGAUGGUAUGAUGGUGGAAGUAUUGCGUUGGCUGUCUUUAUCGUCAUUGUUGUAACAGGUUGGAUUUUCUGUUAACGGAGUAAUAAUACUAACUUUUAUGUGGGUUUUGAAGGCAUUCCUUGAGGACGAUGGAAGGUAACUUUGGUCCGGAUCUUCUUGGCUUUCUUCUUAAAAGUUGUCCCAGAUUUGACAAAUUUGGCAACCUUGGCUGCCUGAGCCUUUGUAUCAAGCUUUUUUGUGGUGUCAGCUUUAGGAGCCAUUGCUGAAAACUGCCUUACAAAUCUUUUACCUGAGGGGAGGAGCGGAGUGUUGAGGGUAGGAGCU